GCCUAACUGGCUUGAUCGGUAGAGCAAAGGACUCUCAAUCUCAGGGUUGUGGGUCCAAGCCCCACAUUGGGUA
RNAcentral lists this transfer RNA (73 nucleotides) under Canis lupus familiaris (dog). It matches the Rfam family "tRNA". Rfam says of the family: Transfer RNA (tRNA) molecules are approximately 80 nucleotides in length. Their secondary structure includes four short double-helical elements and three loops (D, anti-codon, and T loops). RNAcentral also lists the same sequence under 3 other names. Lineage: Eukaryota; Metazoa; Chordata; Mammalia; Carnivora; Canidae. The record is from Rfam by way of RNAcentral.